Rattus norvegicus (Norway rat) is the source of this 100-nucleotide small nuclear RNA. The record is from Ensembl. Lineage: Eukaryota; Metazoa; Chordata; Mammalia; Rodentia; Muridae.
GAGCCAUCUCUCAUAUGCUUAAAUUGGAACAAUACAGGGAGGAUUAGUGUGGCCCCUGCACAAGAAUGACAUGCAAAUUCUUGAAGCAUUCCAUAGCUAA